RNAcentral lists this ribosomal RNA (450 nucleotides) under uncultured bacterium. Its description in RNAcentral is "bacterial SSU rRNA". It matches the Rfam family "Bacterial small subunit ribosomal RNA", at positions 354 to 796 of the family's 1533-position model. The record is from RNAcentral.
GUGGGGAAUUUUGGACAAUGGGCGCAAGCCUGAUCCAGCCAUGCCGCGUGAGUGAAGAAGGCCUUCGGGUUGUAAAGCUCUUUCGGACGGAAAGAAAUCGCGCAGGCUAAUACCCUGUGCGGAUGACGGUACCGUCAUAAGAAGCACCGGCUAACUACGUGCCAGCAGCCGCGGUAAUACGUAGGGUGCGAGCGUUAAUCGGAAUUACUGGGCGUAAAGCGUGCGCAGGCGGUUGAUUAAGACAGGCGUGAAAUCCCCGGGCUUAACCUGGGAACUGCGCUUGUGACUGGUCAGCUAGAGUACGGCAGAGGGGGGUGGAAUUCCACGUGUAGCAGUGAAAUGCGUAGAGAUGUGGAGGAACACCGAUGGCGAAGGCAGCCCCCUGGGCCGAUACUGACGCUCAUGCACGAAAGCGUGGGUAGCAAACAGGAUUAGAAACCCUAGUAGUCC